AUGAGAAGGAGCACGCAAGGAGCCUCGCCGCUGCUGCCACCACCACCACGGUUGUCUUCACGCCACCGCCGCCUCCGAGUUCGCCAGCCGCUGCUCAGAUCUGCGGGAUCCAUGUCCCCAAGCCGCCGGUGUCCGUCCUCCGUCCCGGAUCUGGCUUGUCCACGCCCUUCGGCCUCCCCUGCGACCAGCGCCGGCACCCUCCCCACUGCCUCGUCUACAUGCGUGAGGACAACGAUGACAGCGCCACCAUCGACCGUCUGGGCCGUCCCUUGGCCUUGCUCGCGUGGGCCGCCGCGUGGGCAAGCCAGUCGUCGCCGGCGGGAGCGACAGUGA
This 333-nucleotide ribosomal RNA is filed under the name Triticum aestivum (bread wheat). RNAcentral's name for it is "partial small subunit ribosomal RNA". The record is from RNAcentral. Lineage: Eukaryota; Viridiplantae; Streptophyta; Magnoliopsida; Poales; Poaceae.